Molecule: long non-coding RNA, 3289 nt
Organism: Daphnia magna
Lineage: Eukaryota; Metazoa; Arthropoda; Branchiopoda; Diplostraca; Daphniidae
Exons: 8
Source: RefSeq, a predicted model, not a curated record
UUAACAGUGAAUCGCCUCUUCAUGUAGCUGCUGUCCAGGAGACAGGACAAAAAUUUUGUAUGACAAAGUGGGCGGCCGUAGGCCUACGGCCGUUACACUUUCUGCAAAUGUUAAUCAAUUAUUACGGCCGUAGGCCGUACUAAUACGUAAAAGAUGACUUAAAAUGACUUAGUCAUACAGCGUCCAUCUUGGUUCGUAAAGUUCAGUUCGUCAUGCAAGGUAAUCAAACUGAACGAUACUGGCCAACUGGUGUCUCUCGCAGAACCAGUGUUGCCACUUUGGAAAUAGCGAAAACCAAGAAGAAAGAAAGCGAAGAAACUAUAGAAGGCGUCACAGGUUCUCAGCUGGGCUAGGUCACGAAGUUUAGUCCAGAGAUGGUCUAGUGAUCAGGACCACGUUAAAAAAUGAAAGCAUUUGCUACACAUCUUUCUCGAUUAUCUUCAGAAUUAAAAGAAUGCACGCAUCUUAAUUGGCUCGUAAAGGUGAUUGCAGUGAACCCCAAUUGAGGCCACAAUGUGUGUUCAGGAAAAUCACCCUUCUACACAACCAUUUCUUCACAGCAGAUUUUCAGCUCUCUUAUUGAUAACUGAAAUUGGUUGCUCCGAAAAACCCUAUGAAAUUUUCCGAAUGGCAGACGUUCGUCAAGAUUAAAAUUUAACACUGCAAACUAUAGAGCGUCGUACCAUGCCGGCGAAAGGCCUGGAGAUCUAUUUGGUCGCAUUGAUGUAACAAUGAAGAACCAUCACUUCUCCUCAUUUUUGUAGUAAUGGAACGGCUCAUUCACAACUAGAGUGCACAGAAUAUGCAAACGUUUGACGUCUUUUCGCCAGAAAUAAUAGCCACUACAGCGGAAACCACUGAACGACGAAGAUUCUGACCUUAGACUCUGGUCCUGCCACUGUGCAAGAGAGGCAUUCGCUACAAAGCUGGAACGUGAUGGUUAGAGGUAUCCAGGGACGGUGGGUCGUGGAUUAUUCUGUAUUCCAUUGAGAUACUUUUAAAUGAACUGAUCAGUAAGCAAAGCCGUGCAUCAUCAAGUAUACCAUUGGGAUACUUUUACCUCAACCGAAGAACACAUUUUCUGUGGAAGACAACAUUAUUCUAGUCGUCACAACAUAAAAAUUUAGAGUAAGUCAUUUUUCCUUUGCCAGUGUGGCCUUACAGCAUGGGAAUGCUGUCUGAUUAGCUGCGUUCGCAUUUCUUGAUGGCAACAAACAAAAAAAGGUCAUUCCUUCAGAAGUGUGUAGCAUUUUAUUGCUCGGAGAUUACAGUGCAGCGGAUAUCAUAUGAACAUGCAGAUCGAAAUUGAUCGAAAUUUUUUACAGGACAGCGGCAGACUUCAAGCUAGCAAGCAUUUUGACGACAUGUUCAGGCACUGGAGGAGGAGUGGGCAAAUGAUCACCGGUGACCUGGAAUCCGUUUUCGUCAGCGAACCAAUUGACAGUAAGGACAAUGCCGUCCGGAGAGGUGUACAAGUAAGAUCCUUUAGAAACUGUGCCAAUAUCUUCAGGCUUAAGUCCUACUUGCUUCUGCUUGCCGCUCUCGGAGACUUUGGUUCCAUCAGCACUAUCAAAGCUUUUGAGGUAUAAAAUGAUAUUUCAGAAUUAAAAGUAGUGCAAGUUGACCAUGAAAUAAGAAGUCCUAACUUACACGAAAGAAUAGCUACUAUCAGCGUUCAUUUCACUAUUGGAGGAGAUAAUUCCCCUAUAGGGAUUCAAGCAAAACGAAUUUCACGAUAGGAAUUCUAUCAAAACUCAAUUACGGUAUACCCUACCCCAAACGGAUUUCAACCAACUUUUUCUGAGACUUUCCUCCAGAGAUGGCGCAUAUUCGCGGGGGUAUCGGCACUUAUCUCAUACGUAUUUUUACCAUCGAUGCUGCGCUGCAGAAAUCGAUAUUAACUUGUAGAGAUAACGUGCCGUUUAACGUUCCUAUUUCCGUAAUUAUUGGCUGAACGGCGAAGGAGUGCGGAGCAAUCUAGCCGGCCGACUCGAGUUUAGGCAGUUUUUUCUACGCGAUAGGUGGCGUCUUUUGGGCAAAACUAUUGAAAAAAGGCCGCGACCUUCGUUUUUAAGGCAUGGCUUGGAGAGGCUACUCUUAUACUAAAAGCCGUGGAAUUUCUCAUAUCAUAAAUAAUAUAUACGUUGUUUCUAGUCAGAAUAGGUCUCGGCUCCGAUUACCCAAGAACCAGCUUACUGUUGGUGGAGCUUUAUAAAGAUUUUUCUUUUCCUUAUAGCUAUUGCGUACUAUUGAGCCAUGAUCAGACACAACCAAACUGGAAUGAUCUCGACCGUGUUUGCUACAUAUUCGGAAAGCCUGUGCGUGAAUCGGUGACAAACUUUAAACAUACCUACUUAACGAGUAACAUUUUGGCGACUUUGAGGGAAGCGGAUUUUAUCUGGCAAAUAAAAUAUUAAGGGAUUUGGGUUGCUAUAAGAAGCUAGCCCAGAUGGCAAACGUCUUGAUCCUUUUUCACUUUUAUCGCUAUUCUAUAGUCAACGCAUUCGAUCAUGCCAGCGAUCAGUCGUUUUUCGACCGUUUCUUUCACGGGAUUUUAUGACUGGACUUCCUGGAAUUCCUGAUUCUCAUCUGCCCCAAGAGGUUGUAGACAAGAUGGUUGAAGCCUUCUUUACUGUUCCAGGGAUUUCCAGGGUUUUGUUUGACCUGACGGCAAAACCAUCCGAGACAACGGAGUGGGAAUGAUUUGAUUUACGAACGUUGCUUAGGCAAAUCAUCUCCGCACUCUUUAUAGGACACGGAUACGGAGUUAUAUCAUUGACUAGAUAUAGAAGGGAAAUAUUAUGAACAGUGGAUUCAGUAUAGACGUUUGAAAUUGAAAAAUCAAUCAACUUUGUCGUUGCUUGAAAAUCUCUUGAACCCGCUUUUAAGAGGAUUUCACGUGAUAACUUGUUGACUAUUCCUUAAAUAUACAUGCACACUUGUUGGAAAUAAAGGGUGCAUUAGUUUUUCUUCGAAACAAAUUAAACAUUGUUAAUGUGCAGCUAGGUGGGUUGUGGUUUUAUCUCUCUUGUAUAACUACCGUUUUUCGCCAAAUUGUUAAUCUAAUUCUUUUGAAACGUUCGGAUGUCGCCCAUGCCAUUUCCUAAAACUGAAUAUUCAUAAAAUGUAUAUGUUCGCGAAUUGUUCAGAACUAUUCAGAGUGGCACCAUAAAGUAUAACUGUACGAAAGGGUACGUAGGCUUCUAAAAAUAAAGAACAGCUCUGACGUCUUUGGUAAGCGGAAAGGGUACUGCUCAUUGAAGCGUCAGAUGACGGUUUUAAGAAUGGA